UAUUUUUGCUUUGCUUUCUGUCACCAACAGUAUGGUUCGAAAUGCAUAGAUAGCAAGAGGUCUAGAUAUUGACUCAUCAUUUUCUGCGCCAUUGCUGUUACGAAGGGAGAAAAAUCAAGUCCACAGAAAGCUGCAAAAGCCUAGUGAAGAAAUUCAGUAUUCUUCCCAUCUGAUGGCUCAAGUUCCUUUCAGUGGAAAACCAGCAUCCCCAAAUUUAAAAUCUAAAGAGAAAAAUGAGGAUCGCCCAGGAUGCCUGUGUUUAGAGGCUGUAAAGCGGACAACAGCAAGAUAUAAUCAGUGCAAUGUCAGCCUCACGGAAGAGUCAAAACUGAUUUCAUUUUCAUUACAAGUUCUCGUCAAAGAAGAGGAUAACUACCGAUUAAAAUAACUCUCCACCUCUAGGGUGGUUCCAUCACAACAUGAGUCAGUUACUUCCUGGAAUGGGACCAACGCAAAGAACAAUCCUAAAGCCUAAUUCACUGCAAACAUUUCCCUGAAUGCAUGGCAUUCAUUGGCAUUUGUUUAAACAAGGGCGCUGCAGUUAUAGCCUAGGAAGAAAGCUAGCAAUCAGAAUGUGCAAUGCCAAAGCUUCUUUCAAAAAGGAGCUGAUAAUACACAAUGCAUAUAAAUUACAUUUGAAUUGCAGUGGGCUACAUCCUUUUACCCGUUUGUAAGUUACAGAAGAUGGACUUGGAAGAUACACCUAUAUGAAGUCGUUUGCCAGGAUCUUGCUGUGGUUCCUCACUUUGGCCUGUAUUCUGUCAGAAUGCCAUCGAAGCACACUAGUGACUGUGCAGUGCCGGUCUGUGAGCGCUGUGACGUUCCUUUCUUCUUAGCUCCUCCCUACGUUGAACUCACUAAUCAGCCAUCCUCACAGCCUGUCGGGGUGGUGGAUGCCGCUGGGUUUGGAUGAGCGAGUGCACUGGAGUCAGGCACCCAGCUCCAGCACGCCCGUGGGAACGUUCCUCAGCGAAGGCAGUAUUUCCAAUGAGCCUCAUAGUCCUCAAUGAGAACAUUGGGCAACUAAAGCAGUCCAUGAACCUCGGG
Molecule: long non-coding RNA, 1047 nt
Filed under: Fukomys damarensis (Damara mole-rat)
Lineage: Eukaryota; Metazoa; Chordata; Mammalia; Rodentia; Bathyergidae
Description: lncRNA (ENSFDAG00000027768.1)
Source: RNAcentral